GAGCAGUUAAUUUAACUGGAGAAAAUAACAAGCCUGCUCGAACUUGUUGAAUGUGGGUUCAAGUCCCACACUGCUCUCCA
This 80-nucleotide transfer RNA is filed under the name Fusobacterium sp. Its description in RNAcentral is "tRNA-OTHER". It matches the Rfam family "tRNA". Rfam says of the family: Transfer RNA (tRNA) molecules are approximately 80 nucleotides in length. Their secondary structure includes four short double-helical elements and three loops (D, anti-codon, and T loops). Further hydrogen bonds mediate the characteristic L-shaped molecular structure. tRNAs have two regions of fundamental functional importance: the anti-codon, which is responsible for specific mRNA codon recognition, and the 3' end, to which the tRNAs corresponding amino acid is attached (by aminoacyl-tRNA synthetases). tRNAs cope with the degeneracy of the genetic code in two manners: having more than one tRNA (with a specific anti-codon) for a particular amino acid; and 'wobble' base-pairing, i.e. permitting non-standard base-pairing at the 3rd anti-codon position. The record is from RNAcentral. Lineage: Bacteria; Fusobacteriati; Fusobacteriota; Fusobacteriia; Fusobacteriales; Fusobacteriaceae. RNAcentral also lists the same sequence under 1 other name.